UGGGUAGUCGCCAAGCGGUAAGGCACAAGGUUUUGAUCCUUGCAUCCGAAGGUUCGAGUCCUUCCUACCCAG
This 72-nucleotide transfer RNA is filed under the name Bacillota bacterium. Its description in RNAcentral is "tRNA-Gln". It matches the Rfam family "tRNA". Rfam says of the family: Transfer RNA (tRNA) molecules are approximately 80 nucleotides in length. Their secondary structure includes four short double-helical elements and three loops (D, anti-codon, and T loops). Further hydrogen bonds mediate the characteristic L-shaped molecular structure. tRNAs have two regions of fundamental functional importance: the anti-codon, which is responsible for specific mRNA codon recognition, and the 3' end, to which the tRNAs corresponding amino acid is attached (by aminoacyl-tRNA synthetases). tRNAs cope with the degeneracy of the genetic code in two manners: having more than one tRNA (with a specific anti-codon) for a particular amino acid; and 'wobble' base-pairing, i.e. permitting non-standard base-pairing at the 3rd anti-codon position. The record is from RNAcentral. Lineage: Bacteria; Bacillati; Bacillota.